GAUGAACGCUGGCGGCGUGCCUAAUACAUGCAAGUCGAACGCUUCACUUCGGUGAAGAGUGGCGUACGGGUGCGUAAUACAUAAGUAACCUUGCAUCUACUGGGGGCUAACUGCUGGUAACGUCAGCUAAGACCGCAUAGUUGUAGAGAUCGCCUGAACUCUAUAUGAAAAGUGCUACGGUACUGGUAGAUGAUGUACUUUUGGCGCAUUAGCUUGUUUUUAGGGUAUCGUUCUACCACCGCGACGAUGCGUAUCCGACCUGAGAGGGUGACCGGCCACACAGAGACUGCGACACGGCCCAGAAUCCUAAGUGAGGCAGCAGUGGGGAAUUUUCGGCAAAGGGGGAAAGACUGAACGAGCACCGCCGGGUGAAGGAAGAAAUAAUUCGUUAUGUAGAAGUCUGUCAUAGAGGAAGAACGGUGGAUAUAGGGAAUGAUAGCCAAGUGACGGUACUCAAUAAGAAAGACACGGCUAACUACGUG
This 482-nucleotide ribosomal RNA is filed under the name uncultured bacterium. Its description in RNAcentral is "partial 16S ribosomal RNA". It matches the Rfam family "Bacterial small subunit ribosomal RNA", at positions 28 to 507 of the family's 1533-position model. The record is from RNAcentral.